Colletotrichum gloeosporioides Cg-14 is the source of this 84-nucleotide transfer RNA. It matches the Rfam family "tRNA". From Rfam's summary of the family: Transfer RNA (tRNA) molecules are approximately 80 nucleotides in length. The record is from Rfam. NCBI's taxonomy places the organism in Eukaryota, Fungi, Ascomycota, Sordariomycetes, Glomerellales, Glomerellaceae.
GGCCGACUGGCGCAAUGGUAGCGCGUCAGACUUCUACUGCAAUCAGUGAUCUGAAGGCUGCGGGUUCGAGACCCGCGUUGGUCA